This 616-nucleotide ribosomal RNA is filed under the name Bacillus zhangzhouensis. Its description in RNAcentral is "bacterial SSU rRNA". It matches the Rfam family "Bacterial small subunit ribosomal RNA", at positions 386 to 993 of the family's 1533-position model. Lineage: Bacteria; Bacillati; Bacillota; Bacilli; Caryophanales; Bacillaceae. The record is from RNAcentral.
ACGGAGCAACGCCGCUUGAGUGAUGAAAGUUUUCGGAUCGUAAAGCUCUGUUGUUAGGGAAGAACAAGUGCGAGAGUAACUGCUCGCACCUUGACGGUACCUAACCAGAAAGCCACGGCUAACUACGUGCCAGCAGCCGCGGUAAUACGUAGGUGGCAAGCGUUGUCCGGAAUUAUUGGGCGUAAAGGGCUCGCAGGCGGUUUCUUAAGUCUGAUGUGAAAGCCCCCGGCUCAACCGGGGAGGGUCAUUGGAAACUGGGAAACUUGAGUGCAGAAGAGGAGAGUGGAAUUCCACGUGUAGCGGUGAAAUGCGUAGAGAUGUGGAGGAACACCAGUGGCGAAGGCGACUCUCUGGUCUGUAACUGACGCUGAGGAGCGAAAGCGUGGGGAGCGAACAGGAUUAGAUACCCUGGUAGUCCACGCCGUAAACGAUGAGUGCUAAGUGUUAGGGGGUUUCCGCCCCUUAGUGCUGCAGCUAACGCAUUAAGCACUCCGCCUGGGGAGUACGGUCGCAAGACUGAAACUCAAAGGAAUUGACGGGGGCCCGCACAAGCGGUGGAGCAUGUGGUUUAAUUCGAAGCAACGCGAAGAACCUUACCAGGUCUUGACAUCCUCUG